AUACCGGGCCUUUUUGGGCUUGGUAAUUGGAAUGAGGGAGAGUUAAACGGACCAUCGAGUAUCCAUUGGAGGGCAAGUCUGGUGCCAGCAGCUGCGGUAAUACCAGCUCCAAUAGCGUAUAUUAAAGUUGUUGCAGUUAAAAAGCUCGUAGUUGGACUUGUGUGCGCUGUCCGCGGGUGGCCUGCGCCCAAAAGGGCGUUUCGGUUCGGCCCCGGUGGCGCCUUGAAAUCUGCAGCUGGGGGGACGUUGGCCUUAACUGGUCGGCGACCGCACGCCGGCUGCUCGGUUACUGUGAGAAAAUUAGAGUGUUCAAGGCAGGCAUUGGGUGCAAUUGAAUACAUUAGCAUGGAAUAAUAAAAUAUGGCUCCUGCCGUAUUUUGUUGGUUUUGACUGGUGGGAGUAAUGAUUGAUAGGGACGGUUGGGGGUGCUAGUAUUGAGCGGCCAGAGGUGAAAUUCAUGGAUUCGCUCAAGACUAACUUAUGCGAAAGCAUUCACCAAGGACGUCCUCUUUAAUCAAGAACGAAAGUUGGGGGAUCGAAGACGAUCAGAUACCGUCGUAGUCUCAACCAUAAACUAUGUCGACUUGGGAUCGGCGGUAGUUUUUUCAUUAAGACACUGUCGGGACCACGGGAGAAAUCAAAGUGUCUGGACUCUGGGGGAAGUAUGGUCGCAAGGCUGAAACUUGAAGGAAUUGACGGAAGGGCACCACCAGGAGUGGAGCCUGCGGCUUAAUUUGACCCAACACGGGGAAACUUACCAGGUCCAGAGAUGUAGAGGAUUGACAGAUUGAAGCUCUUUCUUGAUCACUUCGGUGGUGGUGCAUGGCCGUUCUUAGUUGGUGGAGUGAUUUGUCUGGUUAAUUCCGUUAACGAAUGAGACCACAGCCUGCUAGUGUAGUCGGCUGGAUUGCCUUUGGCGAUCCGUGAUUUCGACUUCUUAGAGGGACAAUCGACGCGCAGUCGAUGGAAGUUUGAGGCAAUAACAGGUCUGUGAUGCCCUUAGAUGUUCUGGGCCGCACGCGCGCUACACUGCUGGGCUCAGCGAGUUUUACUUGGCCGAGAGGCCCGGUUAAUCUUGUGAAAUCCCAGCGUGCUUGGGCUCGCCUCCUGCAACUGGAGGCGCCAACGAGGAAUUCCUAGUAGACGCAGGUCAUCAACCUGCAUCGAUUACGUCCCUGCCCUUUGUACACACCGCCCGUCGUUCCAUAAGAGUGAGGCAUCCGGUGAAUUCUCGGGAGAGCCUGGGCGUGGCCAGCAAUGGUCUGCUCGGGUUUGAACUUGCAUAAACUUGGUGCCUAUGAUUAGGG
This 1307-nucleotide ribosomal RNA is filed under the name metagenome. Its description in RNAcentral is "SSU rRNA". It matches the Rfam family "Eukaryotic small subunit ribosomal RNA", at positions 483 to 1783 of the family's 1831-position model. The record is from RNAcentral.